RNAcentral lists this ribosomal RNA (253 nucleotides) under uncultured bacterium. Its description in RNAcentral is "partial 16S ribosomal RNA". It matches the Rfam family "Bacterial small subunit ribosomal RNA", at positions 524 to 776 of the family's 1533-position model. The record is from RNAcentral.
UACAGGGGGUGCAAACGUUGCUCGGAAUCAUUGGGCGUAAAGCGCACGUAGGCGGUCUGUUAUGUCGGAUGUGAAAGCCCUUGGCUCAACUGAGGAAGUGCAUCCGAAACUGGCAGGCUAGAGUACGAAAGAGGAUCGCGGAAUUCCCGGUGUAGAGGUGAAAUUCGUAGAUAUCGGGAGGAACACCGGUGGCGAAGGCGGUUACCUGGAGCUUUGCUGACGCUGAUGCGCGAAAGCGUGGGGAGCGAUCCGG